AAGUACCAGACCGUACUUAUUACUAUUAGUGUACCUCCGGUAUAUGUACGCGAUUUAUCGCACCCUGAAUAGGCGACAGCGAAGGUUACAGCGAAGGUACGUUGGAGGUUAGAAUUCGAACUAGAAGUAUAUGACUUCCAAACGUCGAAGAAUAUUUGUCACGUACUUCAGCGACGUCACAAAUUAACCAUGAUGUUUGUGAUGUUACUCUGAGUGUAUAUCCACACCGGGCGAGCUUGAAAAAUAUGCCCGACCACGGUGGGAAUCGAACCUACGACCUUUGGAAUACUAGCCCAAUG
Molecule: non-coding RNA, 299 nt
Organism: Paramuricea clavata
Lineage: Eukaryota; Metazoa; Cnidaria; Anthozoa; Malacalcyonacea; Plexauridae
Source: the annotation of a GenBank genome assembly